RNAcentral lists this ribosomal RNA (253 nucleotides) under uncultured bacterium. Its description in RNAcentral is "partial 16S ribosomal RNA". It matches the Rfam family "Bacterial small subunit ribosomal RNA", at positions 524 to 776 of the family's 1533-position model. The record is from RNAcentral.
UACAGGGGGUGCAAACGUUGCUCGGAAUCACUGGGCGUAAAGCGCACGUAGGCGGAUUGGAAAGUUGGGGGUGAAAUCCCAGGGCUCAACCCUGGAACUGCCUUCAAAACUCCCAGUCUGGAGGUCGAGAGAGGUGAGUGGAAUUCCGAGUGUAGAGGUGAAAUUCGUAGAUAUUCGGAGGAACACCAGUGGCGAAGGCGGCUCACUGGCUCGAUACUGACGCUGAGGUGCGAAAGCGUGGGGAGCAAACAGG